ACAGCAUUGACAGAUUAUGUGUCAUUUUUGUGUAAGAUUUCACAGAAUGUGUGAAACCUGAAGUUAAGAGAUUCAUUUCUGGGUCGUGCUACAACAAGUGAGAAACUAACGGCCGUUUGGCUGUCCAAUCGCGUGACUGUGGACAUUUGAAAGCAGACUUCCGCCCGCCUUUUCUACCGUUGGAAAUGCAAGAUGCGGCGACUUGACUUCAGACACCGAGAGAGGCUGGCGGCCCAGGUCUUGUGGCCACAUCUGUCCAAGCUCCUACUCUGAUUGAACAGUUGGAUGAUCAGACUGAUGAUGAAAAGUGCUACACAGUUCUCACACAUCUUCUGACUCCGAAGCCGCUGCAGUGUAAAAUCUGAGAUGUCUUUUCUGGUUGAUUUUGUGCAGAUUUCUGACAGCGACAGCGAUGGUGAGGGAAGCAGUGUACCGAACUCUCAGAUGACUCGGACCAGGUGACCAAACCCAUGCAAAGCACAAUGACUGUGCUGAGGCGUUCCGCCCCCCUCCCCCUCCACACCACUCAAGGCACGGCGGCGGCCCAACAGCAAACUAACGGAGAUUAACAUGAGGCUGGAUGCGCUUGGCUCCCUGCUGCGUCCAUCACCAGAGGGGCCGGGAUUGCUGCGGCAGCUAGCCAAUUAAAGGAGGAGGAUGAAGGAGAGGAGUCUGACGAUGCCGACAUCGCCAUCGUAUGCAGUCCACGCCCUCGCAGGAAAACCAGCCAAUGAAAACGCUUGCAGCAGCAUCAGCAGAACACACCGGCACGACUGACAGAGCUUCUGAAGCAUGCAGUGGAAGACCUGUCAGUCAAGCUAAAGGUCCCGCCCUCCAACCUGCUGCUGCUGCACGGAGAGGCGGAACUUAACACCUCACACACUAUUGGCCAGCUAGGACUCUGCAUCGCUGACAUCUUUGUCUGGAACCAACUUCACAUCCCUCUUCACUGCACUACUGACACUGAGAUGGAAUCCACAACCCAACCACUAGUGGUCUGCAUUGGGAACCUGAAGACUCUGUCAUAACCGCCAGGAAUGACCGUGUGACCAUUCCCGUUGCAGACGGCCUGACUUGCACAAUUGACAAGCUGUUCAAGCUUUACUGGGUCUGCAACUUGUUAUAUCCAGCACAGCUCAGCUCUGUUUUCACCUUCUUUGAAUAUGUUUAUGACGUUCCCAUCUCAACCAACAAACGAACAAAGGCACUACAACUUCUCUCAAAGCUUCCCAGCAGCCCAGUGAUCACUCAACAUGUGUUUAUGCCCAAAAUGUAAAUAGCUACUACAGACAUCAAGAAAGUAGUUUGGCAUCUUUGUCAUGUACACGCUUUGUCAGAUGCACAGGAUAUGAUGAUAAUUUGCAGCCAAGAUGGCUGUUCAAGUGUACAAGGACUUACUAUGUAGACACCACCUACGUAGAUAUGUUGUAAAACUGGACGAUUGUGAAAUGAUAUGAUGUGGCAGAUGUAAGACCCAUUGAUGUAAUGCAGAGUUUUCAUUCAGAUGAACUGUCUCUUAACCCAAGGUACAAUGUCUUUUCUUCCAAUAUGUUGGAUCCUACAGUAUUUCAUAAGAAAGUUUUCAAGAGUAUUUAACACUACUUCGAAUUUCAAGACUUUUGGGUUUUGUAAUACACCGGUAAUGUUGUUAAGAGAUGAUAGUGUACGAGUCAUAAUCAUCAAUACUUCAUGAAAUUCGCAGUGGUGUUAAUUAUUCUUGAAAAAGAUCACAUUUGUUAUCUCCCCCUCUUCUGAAAAGCCUAACAAAAAAGAAUAUGACAGUAAAGUUAAUGUAAUACAAUUUUUUUUUAAUUGAAUGUAAACACAACUCUACAAAAAAAAAAAAAAACGUUGCAGAGGUAUGUAGUCAAGACUUUUGAAGAUUUAACCUUGUAAACAAAAGUGUUUGCUAAAUAAAAGUAAACCCCCCCUGUCA
Molecule: long non-coding RNA, 1936 nt
Organism: Engraulis encrasicolus (European anchovy)
Lineage: Eukaryota; Metazoa; Chordata; Actinopteri; Clupeiformes; Engraulidae
Exons: 8
Source: RefSeq, a predicted model, not a curated record